RNAcentral lists this ribosomal RNA (301 nucleotides) under uncultured bacterium. RNAcentral's name for it is "partial 16S ribosomal RNA". It matches the Rfam family "Bacterial small subunit ribosomal RNA", at positions 509 to 807 of the family's 1533-position model. The record is from RNAcentral.
CAGUAGCCACGGGAAUACCGAGGGUGCAAGCGUUAAUCGGAAUUACUGGGCGUAAAGCGCGCGUAGGUGGUUUGUUAAGUUGGAUGUGAAAGCCCCGGGCUCAACCUGGGAACUGCAUCCAAAACUGGCAAGCUAGAGUACGGUAGAGGGUGGUGGAAUUUCCUGUGUAGCGGUGAAAUGCGUAGAUAUAGGAAGGAACACCAGUGGCGAAGGCGACCACCUGGACUGAUACUGACACUGAGGUGCGAAAGCGUGGGGAGCAAACAGGAUUAGAUACCCCAGUAGUCCCUGUCUCUUAUAC